This 1725-nucleotide ribosomal RNA is filed under the name Triticum aestivum (bread wheat). RNAcentral's name for it is "partial small subunit ribosomal RNA". The record is from RNAcentral. Lineage: Eukaryota; Viridiplantae; Streptophyta; Magnoliopsida; Poales; Poaceae.
AUGUUUCCUCGCAGGAACGGCACCCCGCAGCUUCUCCUCCUUCUCUACGCCUGCUGCUUGCUCCUCUCUUUUCGGCUUGAUGCUCCUGGGCAUGUCGCCGCCGCGUUGUCACCCAUCUCCUUCAGCUUUGACUUCACCAACAAGACCUCGUACAACCCACAAGACCUUCAUUUUGAGGGUAACGCGACCGUGAACGGCGGCCUGGUCGACCUCACCGCCGUCGAGGCAACGAAAUUGUUAGACUGCACGGGGCGGAUGUCGUACAGGCGCCCCGUGCCGUUCUACGACAACAACACCGGCGUGGUGGCGAGCUUCGUCACACGGUUCACCUUCAAUAUCAAGCUCCUGCCUGGACGCAUGAAAGGGGACGGCAUGGCUUUCUUCCUCGUCAGCUACCCGUCAAAACUGCCGCAGGACUCGUACGGCGGAGCCUUCGGCCUUUUGAACGGUAGGACGAGGGACGCCGUAGGCGAGAAUCGGUUCGUCGCUGUGGAGUUCGACACCUAUAGCAACACCAACUUCGACCCUCAUGAAACCAUGGACCACAUCGGGAUUGACCUCAGCUCCGUCAUAGACUCGGUUAACACGACGAGCCUGCCCAACUUCAGCCUGAAUGGGACGAUGACGGCGUCCAUCAAUUUUACCAGCAGCACCCGGAUGCUGGUCGCUAGACUGCACUUCGAUGACCGUCCCUCCAUGCAACCGGCUGAAGUCAGCGCGCAGUUGCUCAACCCAACCACGUUGCUCCCCGCGGAGGUGGCGGUGGGGAUCUCCGCGGCCACCGGCACAGGCGUGGAGCUCCAUCAGAUACUAUCAUGGUCCUUCCACUCCACGCUUGUUCCAAAGGAACCAAUAUCCAGAGGAGAAAAUCAGGAACGCUCUCGCCCGACCCGCUCCCACAAGCGGGAGAGCGCCACUGGGCAAAGCCCUGUCGGUGUAGGGCGUUUCCUCGCCCCUCCCGCAUUGGUGUGUGCAGCGUGGGCAGCCGCAUCUGCCCAGGGGCGCGGCGGCAACGAGUCGGUCCAGCGCGUUGGUGGCGUGGCGGAGGACAGGGCUGCGGAUGCGUGGCAGUGCGCGCUCGGCGGGCCUUCGGUGGUCUGGCGGCGGCGGCUCGGCAAGCAAGGCGUCAGGAGCGGCGCGGGCUGGGGAGAUCGCGGCUCUGCCUCCGUGCGGGUAUCUACCGGCGGCGGGUGUGGGACUGUGGGCUGCGGCCACAUCCAGGAGGCCGGUGGCGGAUCCGAUCGGGGCUUGGGCACGGUGUGGGGCGCUGCUCGUGGUCGUCUGCUCCCUGGACGGUCGUGGGUGCUCCUGGUGACCUUGGUGGGCGUAGGGCUGGUCGUGGCAGGGGUCUCCCCUAUCCCAAUUUGUGGCGGGGUGGUGGUGGCGCCUCUCUUCUUCCUGGUUCUUGCCGGCAACAUGGGUUGCUUGUGCGGCCGGACGGCCAUGAUUGGGAGCUCAUGCUCAGGCGGACCAGGUUUGGUCCCGGGAUGGUUCGGAGCUUCGCUCCGGCUAGACGAUGGUGGGCUCGGUGUAGGGGGUGCCCGCGGGAAUCACGGUCCUUGGAUUUGUGCAGAAAAAGCAUCACGAGGAGUGCAGCUGUUCGAUGCAGUGUCAUUAGCAGGAGGUGAUGUCUUGUCUGCAUGGCUACAGCGUUAUGUCAUAUCCCUACUCCCUAGGCUCUCUGCUGCAACAGUGAAAGACAGAGAAAGAGUGGGACAAAUCUAG